CCUACGGGGGGCUGCAGUGGGGAAUAUUGGACAAUGGGGGGAACCCUGAUCCAGCGACGCCGCGUGAGUGAAGAAGUAUUUCGGUAUGUAAAGCUCUAUCAGCAGGGAAGAAAGAAAUGACGGUACCUGACUACGAAGCCCCGGCUAACUACGUCCCCGCAGCCGCGGUAAUAAGUAGGGGGCAAGCGUUAUCCGGAUUUACUGGGUGUAAGGGGAGCGUAGACGGCGGAGCAAGUCUGAAGUGAAAGGCCGGGGCCCAACCCCCGGACUGCUUUGGAAACUGUAUGGCUGGAGUGUAGGAGCGGUGAGUGGAAUUCCUAGUGUAGCGGUGAAAUGCGUAGAUAUUAGGAGGAACACCAGUGGCGAAGGCGGCUUACUGGACUGUAACUGACGUUGAGGCUCGAAAGCGUGGGGAGCAAACAGGAUUAGAUAUCCUUGUAGUC
This 443-nucleotide ribosomal RNA is filed under the name uncultured bacterium. RNAcentral's name for it is "partial 16S ribosomal RNA". It matches the Rfam family "Bacterial small subunit ribosomal RNA", at positions 338 to 795 of the family's 1533-position model. The record is from RNAcentral.